This 404-nucleotide ribosomal RNA is filed under the name Actinomycetes bacterium. Its description in RNAcentral is "Actinobacteria bacterium partial 16S ribosomal RNA". It matches the Rfam family "Bacterial small subunit ribosomal RNA", at positions 355 to 776 of the family's 1533-position model. The record is from RNAcentral. Lineage: Bacteria; Bacillati; Actinomycetota; Actinomycetes.
UGGGGAAUAUUGGACAAUGGGCGCAAGCCUGAUCCAGCCAUGCCGCGUGAGUGAUGAAGGCCCUAGGGUUGUAAAGCUCUUUCACCGGUGAAGAUAAUGACGGUAACCGGAGAAGAAGCCCCGGCUAACUUCGUGCCAGCAGCCGCGGUAAUACGAAGGGGGCUAGCGUUGUUCGGAUUUACUGGGCGUAAAGCGCACGUAGGCGGACUUUUAAGUCAGGGGUGAAAUCCCGGGGCUCAACCCCGGAACUGCCUUUGAUACUGGAAGUCUUGAGUAUGGUAGAGGUGAGUGGAAUUCCGAGUGGAGAGGUGAAAUUCGUAGAUAUUCGGAGGAACACCAGUGGCGAAGGCGGCUCACUGGACCAUUACUGACGCUGAGGUGCGAAAGCGUGGGGAGCAAACAGG